Molecule: long non-coding RNA, 217 nt
Filed under: Drosophila guanche
Lineage: Eukaryota; Metazoa; Arthropoda; Insecta; Diptera; Drosophilidae
Source: RNAcentral
GUGGUCUAUCUAUCUAACAUGCUAUAGCCUGGCGGCCCUUGGCUGCUGUCUACUGCUGGCACUUAUCUGGGCCAGGUGUCGUUUCCAUGUCUCGAAUUCCGAGUUGUUUGAACUGUUUAGCCAGUCUCUGUUGCAGCUGUUCCUGGCGUAAUUGUCUGCUCAAUUGGUGCUGUAAUAACUUUUAAUUAUGGAUCGUACGACAUUAAGUGUGCUGCUG